GGUCCUGUGGCCCAAUGGAUAAGGCGUGUGCCUCCUAAGUACAAGAUUCCGGGUUCGAGUCCCGGCAGGACCU
Octopus sinensis (East Asian common octopus) is the source of this 73-nucleotide non-coding RNA. NCBI's taxonomy places the organism in Eukaryota, Metazoa, Mollusca, Cephalopoda, Octopoda, Octopodidae. The record is from the annotation of a RefSeq genome assembly.